GCGCUGAAGACUGGUACUUGUACCGGUUGGAUGAGCAGCCCAUUUGUGAGUAACGCGUGGGUAACCUGCCCUAUAGAGGGGGAUAACUAGAGGAAACUUUAGCUAAUACCGCAUAAAAUCUAAUAACACAUGUUAUAAGAUUGAAAGUGCCAACUGGUACACUAUAGGAUGGACCCGCGUUGUAUUAGCUAGUUGGUGAGGUAAAGGCUCACCAAGGCGAUGAUACAUAGCCGACCUGAGGGUGAUCGGCCACACUGGGACUGAGACACGGCCCAGACUCCUACGGGAGGCAGCAGUAGGGAAUCUUCGGCAAUGGACGAAAGUCUGACCGAGCAACGCCGCGUGAGUGAAGAAGGUUUUCGGAUCGUAAAACUCUGUUGUAAGAGAAGAACACCAGUAAGAGUGGAAAGCUUACUGGCUGACGGUAUCUUACCAGAAAGCCACGGCUAACUACGUGCCAGCAGCCGCGGUAAUACGUAGGUGGCAAGCGUUGUCCGGAUUUAUUGGGCGUAAAGCGAGCGCAGGCGGUUCAUUAAGUCUGAUGUAAAAGGCAGUGGCUCAACCAUUGUAAGCAUUGGAAACUGGUGAACUUGAGUGCAGUAGAGGAGAGUGGAAUUCCAUGUGUAGCGGUGAAAUGCGUAGAUAUAUGGAGGAACACCGGAGGCGAAAGCGGCUCUCUGGACUGUAACUGAC
RNAcentral lists this ribosomal RNA (693 nucleotides) under uncultured bacterium. Its description in RNAcentral is "bacterial SSU rRNA". It matches the Rfam family "Bacterial small subunit ribosomal RNA", at positions 64 to 744 of the family's 1533-position model. The record is from RNAcentral.